RNAcentral lists this small nuclear RNA (103 nucleotides) under Anopheles melas. Lineage: Eukaryota; Metazoa; Arthropoda; Insecta; Diptera; Culicidae. The record is from RNAcentral.
GUCCUAGUUUCGGCUGAACAUAUACUAAAAUUGGAUCGAUACAGAGAAGAUUAGCAUGGCCCCUGCGCAAGGAUGACACGCAAGCUUAGACAGGUAUUUUUUU